RNAcentral lists this ribosomal RNA (484 nucleotides) under uncultured bacterium. RNAcentral describes it as "partial 16S ribosomal RNA". It matches the Rfam family "Bacterial small subunit ribosomal RNA", at positions 28 to 507 of the family's 1533-position model. The record is from RNAcentral.
AUUGAACGCUGGCGGCAUGCUUUACACAUGCGAGUCGAACGGCAGCGCGGGCUUCGGCCUGGCGGCGAGUGGCGAACGGGUGUGUAAUGCAUCGGAACGUGCCCAGUAGUGGGGGAUAGCCCGGCGAAAGCCGGAUUAAUACCGCAUACGACCUGAGGGUGAAAGCGGGGGACCGAAAGGCCUCGCGCUAUUGGAGCGGCCGAUGUCGGAUUAGCUAGUUGGUGGGGUAAAGGCUUACCAAGGCGACGAUCCGUAGCUGGUCUGAGAGGACGACCAGCCACACUGGGACUGAGACACGGCCCAGACUCCUACGGGAGGCAGCAGUGGGGAAUUUUGGACAAUGGGGGCAACCCUGAUCCAGCCAUGCCGCGUGCGGGAAGAAGGCCUUCGGGUUGUAAACCGCUUUUGUUCGGGAAGAAAUCCUCUGGGCUAAUACCCCGGGGGGAUGACGGUACCGGAAGAAUAAGCACCGGCUAACUACGUG